Molecule: ribosomal RNA, 254 nt
Filed under: uncultured bacterium
Lineage: Bacteria
Description: partial 16S ribosomal RNA
Rfam family: Bacterial small subunit ribosomal RNA
Source: RNAcentral
UACGGGGGGAGCAAGCGUUGUUCGGAUCUACUGGGCGUAAAGGGCGCGUAGGCGGCCACCGCAAGUCGGUUGUGAAAUCUCCGGGCUUAACCCGGAAAGGUCAAUCGAUACUGCGGGGCUAGAGUGCAGAAGGGGCAACUGGAAUUCUCGGUGUAGCGGUGAAAUGCGUAGAUAUCGAGAGGAACACCUGCGGCGAAGGCGGGUUGCUGGGCUGACACUGACGCUGAAGCGCGAAAGCUAGGGGAGCGAACGGG